AGUCGAACGAGUUCUYGUUGAUGAUCGGUGCUUGCACCGAGAUUCAACAUGGAACGAGUGGCGGACGGGUGAGUAACACGUGGGUAACCUGCCCUUAAGUGGGGGAUAACAUUUGGAAACAGAUGCUAAUACCGCAUAGAUCCAAGAACCGCAUGGUUCUUGGCUGAAAGAUGGCGUAAGCUAUCGCUUUUGGAUGGACCCGCGGCGUAUUAGCUAGUUGGUGAGGUAAUGGCUCACCAAGGCGAUGAUACGUAGCCGAACUGAGAGGUUGAUCGGCCACAUUGGGACUGAGACACGGCCCAAACUCCUACGGGAGGCAGCAGUAGGGAAUCUUCCACAAUGGACGCAAGUCUGAUGGAGCAACGCCGCGUGAGUGAAGAAGGCUUUCGGGUCGUAAAACUCUGUUGUUGGAGAAGAAUGGUCGGCAGAGUAACUGUUGUCGGCGUGACGGUAUCCAACCAGAAAGCCACGGCUAACUACGUGCCAGCAGCCGCGGUAAUACGUAGGUGGCAAGCGUUAUCCGGAUUUAUUGGGCGUAAAGCGAGCGCAGGCGGUUUUUUAAGUCUGAUGUGAAAGCCCUCGGCUUAACCGAGGAAGCGCAUCGGAAACUGGGAAACUUGAGUGCAGAAGAGGACAGUGGAACUCCAUGUGUAGCGGUGAAAUGCGUAGAUAUAUGGAAGAACACCAGUGGCGAAGGCGGCUGUCUGGUCUGUAACUGACGCUGAGGCUCGAAAGCAUGGGUAGCGAACAGGAUUAGAUACCCUGGUAGUCCAUGCCGUAAACGAUGAAUGCUAGGUGUUGGAGGGUUUCCGCCCUUCAGUGCCGCAGCUAACGCAUUAAGCAUUCCGCCUGGGGAGUACGACCGCAAGGUUGAAACUCAAAGGAAUUGACGGGGGCCCGCACAAGCGGUGGA
Molecule: ribosomal RNA, 913 nt
Filed under: Lacticaseibacillus paracasei
Lineage: Bacteria; Bacillati; Bacillota; Bacilli; Lactobacillales; Lactobacillaceae
Description: bacterial SSU rRNA
Source: RNAcentral